RNAcentral lists this non-coding RNA (151 nucleotides) under Gorilla gorilla gorilla (western lowland gorilla). The record is from Rfam by way of RNAcentral. Lineage: Eukaryota; Metazoa; Chordata; Mammalia; Primates; Hominidae.
GCCGAGCGUGGUGGCGGGCGCCUGUAAUCCCAGCUACUUGGGAGGCUGAGGCAGGAGAAUCACUGGAACCCAGGAGUGGGAGGCUGCAGUGAGCCGAGAUCUCACCACCACUGCACUCCAGCCUGGGUGACACAGUGAGACUCUGUCUCAA